Long non-coding RNA from Artibeus jamaicensis (Jamaican fruit-eating bat), 297 nucleotides. RefSeq lists it as uncharacterized. The transcript has 2 exons. The record is from RefSeq and is a predicted model, not a curated record. Lineage: Eukaryota; Metazoa; Chordata; Mammalia; Chiroptera; Phyllostomidae.
CGCUUCUCCAGGAACUCUUGGAAGCCCUGGACGCCCAUGCUUCUUCGGCAGGCAGACGAGACAGCGGCUGCGCGAGCUAGCUAGGCGAACCUCCUUUCUACAACCUUCUCUACUUUCUCCUUCAUGGUUGCAGCAGAAACCAUCCUUUCCAGAGAAUCUUGGAUUGAGCUGGAGGCAAGAUGAAAAAUUUCGGCUGCAUUCAAGCACCUGAUUUACUUGUCCCUAAAGUCCAUCUGCAUUAUCCCUGAUUUUUGUGAGACAUCACCAUUUUUAUAAUAAAUUCGUCUUUUUGCUUCA